Molecule: long non-coding RNA, 435 nt
Organism: Cygnus olor (mute swan)
Lineage: Eukaryota; Metazoa; Chordata; Aves; Anseriformes; Anatidae
Exons: 2
Source: RefSeq, a predicted model, not a curated record
GUUUUCCUCCCGCCGCGGCCCGCCCCGCGCCCGGCCGGUUGCUAGGGGCGGCCCGGGAAUGCUUCGCCCCCCCCUCCCCAGGCCCUCGCCGGCCGGUGCCCGCCGCCCGUCCCGGCGUAUUCCGAGCGUUUUGUUACGACCAAAAAAGAUGCUCUCUAUGAAUAGAGAGAGUGCCUAUUUACUCUGAAAUAUUUGGCACAACGGAGCGAGUCUGGAGCAUGGAAGAAGUGGCUAUUAUUUUCCCGCUGCCUGUGUGCAGCUGUCAUCCCUGAGCAACACAGUCUUAGCACAGCCCCGCUUCCGAAGCUCCGUGUCAGACCGUCCUGGGAGGACAACCAGGCGUGCCACCGCGCCUACCCGAAACCCCAGCACCGUGCCUUGGAUCUGACCGAACCCCAAACCUACGUGUUGUGGUUUGGAUUAAAUCAUUGCAGA